RNAcentral lists this ribosomal RNA (712 nucleotides) under uncultured bacterium. Its description in RNAcentral is "bacterial SSU rRNA". It matches the Rfam family "Bacterial small subunit ribosomal RNA", at positions 56 to 764 of the family's 1533-position model. The record is from RNAcentral.
UGCAGUCGAACGGUAACAGGGAGCUUGCUCCGCUGACGAGUGGCGAACGGGUGAGUAAUGCGUCGGAACGUGCCGAGUAGUGGGGGAUAACGCAUCGAAAGGUGUGCUAAUACCGCAUACGAACUGAGGUUGAAAGUGGGGGACCUUCGGGCCUCACGCUAUUCGAGCGGCCGACGUCUGAUUAGCUAGUUGGUGAGGUAAAGGCUCACCAAGGCGACGAUCAGUAGCGGGUCUGAGAGGAUGAUCCGCCACACUGGGACUGAGACACGGCCCAGACUCCUACGGGAGGCAGCAGUGGGGAAUUUUGGACAAUGGGCGCAAGCCUGAUCCAGCCAUGCCGCGUGUCUGAAGAAGGCCUUCGGGUUGUAAAGGACUUUUGUCCGGGAGCAAAUGCCUGGUGUUAAUAGCAUCGGGAGCUGAGAGUACCGGAAGAAUAAGCACCGGCUAACUACGUGCCAGCAGCCGCGGUAAUACGUAGGGUGCAAGCGUUAAUCGGAAUUACUGGGCGUAAAGCGUGCGCAGGCGGUUUUGUAAGCCAGAUGUGAAAGCCCCGGGCUCAACCUGGGAACUGCGUUUGGAACUACAAGACUAGAGUGUGUCAGAGGGGGGUGGAAUUCCGCGUGUAGCAGUGAAAUGCGUAGAGAUGCGGAGGAACACCGAUGGCGAAGGCAGCCCCCUGGGAUAACACUGACGCUCAUGCACGAAAGCGUGU